This 465-nucleotide ribosomal RNA is filed under the name uncultured bacterium. Its description in RNAcentral is "partial 16S ribosomal RNA". It matches the Rfam family "Bacterial small subunit ribosomal RNA", at positions 28 to 507 of the family's 1533-position model. The record is from RNAcentral.
GACGAACGCUGGCGGCGUGCUUAACACAUGCAAGUCGAACGGAAAGGCCCCUUUGGGGGUACUCGAGUGGCGAACGGGUGAGUAACACGUGAGUAACCUGCCCUUUACUUCGGGAUAACUUCAGGAAACUGGGGCUAAUACCGGAUAGGAAUCCUUGCUGCAUGGUGGGGGUUGGAAAGCUUCGGGGGUUUUGGAUGGACUCGCGGCUUAUCGGCUUGUUGGUGGGGUAGUGGCUUACCAAGGCUUUGACGGGUAGCCGGCCUGAGAGUGCGACCGGCCACAUUGGGACUGAGAUACGGCCCAGACGCCUACGGGAGGAAGCAGUGGGGAAUAUUGCACAAGGGGCGGAAGCCUGAUGCAGCAACGCCGCGUGCGGGAUGACGGCCUUCGGGUUGUAAACCGCUUUCAGCAGGGGCGAAGCUUGUGGUGACGGUACCUGCAGAAGAAGCACCGGCUAACUACGUG